Molecule: ribosomal RNA, 355 nt
Filed under: uncultured Streptomyces sp.
Lineage: Bacteria; Bacillati; Actinomycetota; Actinomycetes; Kitasatosporales; Streptomycetaceae
Description: bacterial SSU rRNA
Rfam family: Bacterial small subunit ribosomal RNA
Source: RNAcentral
GGUGGUGCAUGGCUGUCGUCAGCUCGUGUCGUGAGAUGUUGGGUUAAGUCCCGCAACGAGCGCAACCCUUGUCCUGUGUUGCCAGCGUGCCCUUCGGGGUGACGGGGACUCACAGGAGACCGCCGGGGUCAACUCGGAGGAAGGUGGGGACGACGUCAAGUCAUCAUGCCCCUUAUGUCUUGGGCUGCACACGUGCUACAAUGGCCGGUACAAUGAGCUGCGAUACCGUGAGGUGGAGCGAAUCUCAAAAAGCCGGUCUCAGUUCGGAUUGGGGUCUGCAACUCGACCCCAUGAAGUCGGAGUUGCUAGUAAUCGCAGAUCAGCAUUGCUGCGGUGAAUACGUUCCCGGGCCUUG